RNAcentral lists this long non-coding RNA (373 nucleotides) under Cricetulus griseus (Chinese hamster). RNAcentral's name for it is "lncRNA (ENSCGRG00015032848.1)". The record is from RNAcentral. Lineage: Eukaryota; Metazoa; Chordata; Mammalia; Rodentia; Cricetidae.
CUGACACUUCCUUAGACGUCUAAGACUUCUGUCCCCAGACCAUAACAGACUGAGGGAUGCUAUUCAGCACAGACGUGUGUCUCUACUGCUGUGUGCUGGAGCAGGUGGAAUCAGUCCCUGGGACCGUUGCACACAGCUUUCCCCAAUGGUGUCAUACAGGGAGCUGGAAAUCAACCAUUUGGUAGCAUUCAAACCACAUGUGCCAUAUACACCAUGAGAGCAGCACGCACCAGAGUUACCUUCCCUCCUGAGAACAGCACACCAGCACAGCCCUCAUCCUUCCCUUUGAGUGAGUGGCAGGGCCCCGUUGAGAUGGUGGCCACCCUAUGACCAGAGUGGACUGAGGAUCAAAUGAAGUUGAUGCCUUGGGAAG